Myodes glareolus (Bank vole) is the source of this 298-nucleotide long non-coding RNA. RefSeq lists it as uncharacterized. The record is from RefSeq and is a predicted model, not a curated record. NCBI's taxonomy places the organism in Eukaryota, Metazoa, Chordata, Mammalia, Rodentia, Cricetidae.
AUUAUGAGUACUCUGAGGUUUCUGCCUUCCAUUGAAUUCUCUUUCCAGGAGAAAGAAAGCAAAGAUCAUCAGUUUCCCUGAAAAAUGAUUGAGAAUUUUUUUCUUCUUUUUAAGAAAUUUUGAAGAUUUUAUAUUGGCAAAAUGCAUGGCAUGAAGGACAGGAAAAACUCACAUCUUUAGCUAUGUGAAAGAACUGAUGUGGAAACGUCUAUACCAGGUGAGAUUUCAUGAGGAACAUUUUGAGAGUCGAGUUGGUUCUCCUCAAAGGAAUGCUGAAGUCCUAAUGCCUACAACUAGU